UGAAAGAGUAAGAGAGAGAUCUUUGAGAGGAAGAAGAAGUUUUUUUUUGUGUUUGAUUUUUUUUUUUGUGAUAUGUUGUUAAAACAACACAGACGAAUGGAGAAGGAAGAAGAAAACAAAGAUGUUUUUUUUACUAUUUCUCCUUGCCACGUGUCAAACAUGGAGUGGAGAUUUUUUUAAAGUGAAAAAUAUCUGGUUAGUUUCCAUUGAAACUAACCGCCCACCCUUUUUUUUCUUU
Molecule: long non-coding RNA, 238 nt
Filed under: Lathyrus oleraceus (garden pea)
Lineage: Eukaryota; Viridiplantae; Streptophyta; Magnoliopsida; Fabales; Fabaceae
Description: Pisum sativum (pea) long non-coding RNA (PSAT_LNC023061)
Source: RNAcentral